AACGAACGCUGGCGGCAUGCCUAACACAUGCAAGUCGAACGAGACCUUCGGGUCUAGUGGCGCACGGGUGCGUAACGCGUGGGAACCUGCCCUUAUGUUCGGAAUAACUCCCCGAAAGGGGUGCUAAUACCGGAUAAUAUCUUCGGACCAAAGAUUUAUCGCCUUUGGAUGGGCCCGCGUUGGAUUAGCUAGUUGGUAGGGUAAAAGCCUACCAAGGCGACGAUCCAUAGCUGGUCUGAGAGGAUGAUCAGCCACACUGGGACUGAGACACGGCCCAGACUCCUACGGGAGGCAGCAGUGGGGAAUAUUGGACAAUGGGCGAAAGCCUGAUCCAGCAAUGCCGCGUGAGUGAUGAAGGCCUUAGGGUUGUAAAGCUCUUUUACCCGGGAUGAUAAUGACAGUACCGGGAGAAUAAGCUCCGGCUAACUCCGUG
RNAcentral lists this ribosomal RNA (433 nucleotides) under uncultured bacterium. Its description in RNAcentral is "partial 16S ribosomal RNA". It matches the Rfam family "Bacterial small subunit ribosomal RNA", at positions 29 to 507 of the family's 1533-position model. The record is from RNAcentral.